This 253-nucleotide ribosomal RNA is filed under the name uncultured bacterium. RNAcentral describes it as "partial 16S ribosomal RNA". It matches the Rfam family "Bacterial small subunit ribosomal RNA", at positions 524 to 776 of the family's 1533-position model. The record is from RNAcentral.
UACGGAGGGUGCAAGCGUUAUCCGGAUUCACUGGGUUUAAAGGGUGCGUAGGAGGGCAGGUAAGUCAGUGGUGAAAUCCCCGAGCUUAACUUGGGAACUGCCGUUGAUACUAUCUGUCUUGAAUACCGUGGAGGUGGGCGGAAUAUGUCAUGUAGCGGUGAAAUGCUUAGAUAUGACAUAGAACACCAAUUGCGAAGGCAGCUCGCUACACGAAUAUUGACUCUGAGGCACGAAAGCGUGGGGAUCAAACAGG